This 29-nucleotide non-coding RNA is filed under the name Mus musculus (house mouse). The record is from RNAcentral. Lineage: Eukaryota; Metazoa; Chordata; Mammalia; Rodentia; Muridae.
AGAGCCAAGGCUAUCUGAAUCAAGGCUAA